RNAcentral lists this ribosomal RNA (465 nucleotides) under uncultured bacterium. RNAcentral describes it as "partial 16S ribosomal RNA". It matches the Rfam family "Bacterial small subunit ribosomal RNA", at positions 28 to 507 of the family's 1533-position model. The record is from RNAcentral.
GACGAACGCUGGCGGCGUGCUUAACACAUGCAAGUCGAACGGAAAGGCCCUGCUUGCAGGGUCCUCUAGUUGCGAACGGGUGAGUUACACGUUGGUUAUCUGCCCUUCACUUCGGGAUAAGCCUGUGCAACUGGGUCUAAUACCGGAUAGGAGCCAUUUUUAGUGUGUUGGUUGGAGAGUUUUUUCGGUGUAGGUUGAGCUCGCGGCCUAUCAGCUUGUUGGUGGGGUAAUGGCCUACCAAGGCGUAGGCGGGUAUCCGGCGCGAGAGGGUGGACGGCAACAUUGGGACUGAGAUAGGGACAAGACUCCGACGGGAGGGAGCAGUGGGGAAGAGUGAACAAGGGGAGCAAGCCUGAUGCAGAGACGCCGAGUGGGGGAUGACGGCCUAGGGGUUGGGAACGCAUUUCGCUAGGGACGAAGCAUUUUGUGACGGUACCGAGAGAAGAAGCACCGGCUAACUACGUG